This 84-nucleotide transfer RNA is filed under the name Rhodobaculum claviforme. RNAcentral's name for it is "tRNA-Leu". It matches the Rfam family "tRNA". From Rfam's summary of the family: Transfer RNA (tRNA) molecules are approximately 80 nucleotides in length. The record is from RNAcentral. Lineage: Bacteria; Pseudomonadati; Pseudomonadota; Alphaproteobacteria; Rhodobacterales; Paracoccaceae.
GCGGGUGUGGCGGAAUGGUAGACGCAGGGCACUCAAAAUGCUCCGCCGCAAGGCAUGGGAGUUCGACUCUCCCCACCCGCACCA